GUCUUAACUGGGCGUUAAGUUGCAGGGUAUAGACCCGAAACCCGGUGAUCUAGCCAUGGGCAGGUUGAAGGUUGGGUAACACUAACUGGAGGACCGAACCGACUAAUGUUGAAAAAUUAGCGGAUGACUUGUGGCUGGGGGUGAAAGGCCAAUCAAACCGGGAGAUAGCUGGUUCUCCCCGAAAGCUAUUUAGGUAGCGCCUCGUGAAUUCAUCUCCGGGGGUAGAGCACUGUUUCGGCAAGGGGGUCAUCCCGACUUACCAACCCGAUGCAAACUGCGAAUACCGGAGAAUGUUAUCACGGGAGACACACGGCGGGUGCUAACGUCCGUCGUGAAGAGGGAAACAACCCAGACCGCCAGCUAAGGUCCCAAAGUCAUGGUUAAGUGGGAAACGAUGUGGGAAGGCCCAGACAGCCAGGAUGUUGGCUUAGAAGCAGCCAUCAUUUAAAGAAAGCGUAAUAGCUCACUGGUCGAGUCGGCCUGCGCGGAAGAUGUAACGGGGCUAAACCAUGCACCGAAGCUGCGGCAGCGACACUGUGUGUUGUUGGGUAGGGGAGCGUUCUGUAAGCCUGUGAAGGUGUGCUGUGAGGCAUGCUGGAGGUAUCAGAAGUGCGAAUGCUGACAUAAGUAACGAUAAAGCGGGUGAAAAGCCCGCUCGCCGGAAGACCAAGGGUUCCUGUCCAACGUUAAUCGGGGCAGGGUGAGUCGACCCCUAAGGCGAGGCCGAAAGGCGUAGUCGAUGGGAAACAGGUUAAUAUUCCUGUACUUGGUGUUACUGCGAAGGGGGGACGGAGAAGGCUAUGUUGGCCGGGCGACGGUUGUCCCGGUUUAAGCGUGUAGGCUGGUUUUCCAGGCAAAUCCGGAAAAUCAAGGCUGAGGCGUGAUGACGAGGCACUACGGUGCUGAAGCAACAAAUGCCCUGCUUCCAGGAAAAGCCUCUAAGCAUCAGGUAACAUCAAAUCGUACCCCAAACCGACACAGGUGGUCAGGUAGAGAAUACCAAGGCGCUUGAGAGAACUCGGGUGAAGGAACUAGGCAAAAUGGUGCCGUAACUUCGGGAGAAGGCACGCUGAUAUGUAGGUGAAGUCCCUCGCGGAUGGAGCUGAAAUCAGUCGAAGAUACCAGCUGGCUGCAACUGUUUAUUAAAAACACAGCACUGUGCAAACACGAAAGUGGACGUAUACGGUGUGACGCCUGCCCGGUGCCGGAAGGUUAAUUGAUGGGGUCAGCGCAAGCGAAGCUCUUGAUCGAAGCCCCGGUAAACGGCGGCCGUAACUAUAACGGUCCUAAGGUAGCGAAAUUCCUUGUCGGGUAAGUUCCGACCUGCACGAAUGGCGUAAUGAUGGCCAGGCUGUCUCCACCCGAGACUCAGUGAAAUUGAACUCGCUGUGAAGAUGCAGUGUACCCGCGGCAAGACGGAAAGACCCCGUGAACCUUUACUAUAGCUUGACACUGAACAUUGAGCCUUGAUGUGUAGGAUAGGUGGGAGGCUUUGAAGUGUGGACGCCAGUCUGCAUGGAGCCGACCUUGAAAUACCACCCUUUAAUGUUUGAUGUUCUAACGUGGACCCGUGAUCCGGGUUGCGGACAGUGUCUGGUGGGUAGUUUGACUGGGGCGGUCUCCUCCUAAAGAGUAACGGAGGAGCACGAAGGUUGGCUAAUCCUGGUCGGACAUCAGGAGGUUAGUGCAAUGGCAUAAGCCAGCUUGACUGCGAGCGUGACGGCGCGAGCAGGUGCGAAAGCAGGUCAUAGUGAUCCGGUGGUUCUGAAUGGAAGGGCCAUCGCUCAACGGAUAAAAGGUACUCCGGGGAUAACAGGCUGAUACCGCCCAAGAGUUCAUAUCGACGGCGGUGUUUGGCACCUCGAUGUCGGCUCAUCACAUCCUGGGGCUGAAGUAGGUCCCAAGGGUAUGGCUGUUCGCCAUUUAAAGUGGUACGCGAGCUGGGUUUAGAACGUCGUGAGACAGUUCGGUCCCUAUCUGCCGUGGGCGCUGGAGAACUGAGGGGGGCUGCUCCUAGUACGAGAGGACCGGAGUGGACGCAUCACUGGUGUUCGGGUUGUCAUGCCAAUGGCACUGCCCGGUAGCUAAAUGCGGAAGAGAUAAGUGCUGAAAGCAUCUAAGCACGAAACUUGCCCCGAGAUGAGUUCUCCCUGACCCUUUAAGGGUCCUGAAGGAACGUUGAAGACGACGACGUUGAUAGGCCGGGUGUGUAAGCGCAGCGAUGCGUUGAGCUAACCGGUACUAAUGAACCGUGAGGCUUAACCUUACAACGCCGAAGGUGUUU
This 2284-nucleotide ribosomal RNA is filed under the name Escherichia coli. RNAcentral describes it as "partial 23S ribosomal RNA". It matches the Rfam family "Bacterial large subunit ribosomal RNA", at positions 681 to 2925 of the family's 2925-position model. Lineage: Bacteria; Pseudomonadati; Pseudomonadota; Gammaproteobacteria; Enterobacterales; Enterobacteriaceae. The record is from RNAcentral.